CACAGCAUUUUACUCUGAUUUAUGCAUCCUCCUAGCUUGCCUUGGGAACAGCAGUUCUCUGCCAGGCAGAAUUUGGAGGCUUUGUUUUCACACCACAUACACAGCUAUAAAUCAGAAAUAGCACAACUGACGUCAGCGGUGCCUCAGCAGCAAAAAUCCCAUGUCAGGAAAAUUAUAAUUGUGCCUUGGUCUUCCUCCAUAUCCGCUGGGCUUGGAACUGCCUUGCUUGCCCUUGAGGCAAGGAGACCUGUAGUACUGAAGUCUUCCUGUUGCUGUACCCAUAACUGAGGAGUUCAAGCGCUGCUAUGAAAUCCUAGGCUGGUUGUCAGGACCAAGAGCAGGUUUCCCCGAAGUGGAUUACUUCCAGGCAGCACCACAGCGUGUCAAGAGCACUGGUGGUACUGGCAGUUUCAGCAAGGUCUCCAGCCCUGGGACCUCCCACCUCCAGGGACAUCAUCAGGUCACAACCACCAAGAGCCAGGAGAUUGUGGGGUUACCCUGCGCAAGCCCACUAUUGCAGCGGCCUCUGGGCAGCCAGGAUGGCCCAGUCGAUGGGACUGUGACAGCAGCAGAGAAUGCUCAGGGGACUGGGCACAAGGAGCAGCAGUGGUCAUCCAGGGCGUCCCCCGGGCUGUGGGAUAACAUCUGCCCAGAGGAUGACUAUGGGCUGGUGGCCAACAAGAGGAGGUCCUACUCCUUCACCUCAGCCACCUACCAGAAGAUCACCCCGCUGGCAGUGCCCAAGGAGCCGGUGGAGGCCGGGAGCAGUUACUCCGUCACACUGUACAUAGGGGAGCAGGUGUCAGCCAUGCCCCGGGCACGCUGUCACUCCUUCGUGGCCCAAACAGGGAGCCCUCGGGACACACGAGGGGAGAAGACCACUAGCCCCCCUCGCACCAAGAACAAAUCUGUCUUCAAGAAGUUCUUUGGGAAAAAAGAGUGAGCCCCAGACAAAUGGAGAAAAUGCCCUAACCUGCCUCUUAUCCUCCUCUUGGGCCAUUCUGGCUUGAUCUCUACUCCCAGCACCAGUUCAUGGCUUACUGCCUCCCCAGGGGCAAGAGGCUGUGCCAAGUGGCUCUGCUUCAGCCAGCCCCAGGUCUGCCCUGUGCCCCAGGCACUGCAGCCCCCAGCCUCAGCCUGGUGCUGAGCACCCCUCCUGCCCAGUGCUCUCCCUGGGUGCUGCUGGCUCCCCAGGCAUCCUAAUGACACACAGCACAAGCAGAAGGUGUGGAUGAUGGUUUUUAUUAAAAGAUAAAUAGACAGUGUGGGAGCUUUUUUGUCCAGCAGCAUCCAUCAGCACAGAAGGAAAGGAGCUCUCUGCAAGGUGGUCCUUGCUAAGGAGUAAGGGGAGCUUCAGAUGAGGAGGGCCCUGCAGUGAGGUUCAGUCCUGCUUGUGGGGGGAAGCUCAAGCUGUUUGGUGCCUUUCAAGGAUGCUUCACAAGGAUGCUUUGUCCCAUGCUUCCUCUCUGCCUGCACUCAGCCCAGCUAAUCCCACAGGCUAUCUGGGCCCCUUUUCCCUGCCCUGGGAGCUUAGCAAGGAAGUCACUACCUACAGAGUAAAUACUCCUGCCUGUACAGCCCUGCCAAGCCUGCCCAGCCUCGUUCUCUCCCAGGAUGGCUGCCAGCCUAGGUCACAGCAGGUGAAUGCGGCCUGACACAGAUGGGGGUAGUGGUGUGUGGAUAGACCCCCCCCCAUUCCUACAGCCCAGAUAUUUUUGCAGUAACUUCACCAGACCAUGCCAGUUUCAACUGCCCCAAUUGCCACUUGUACUGGGAAGGGGGAAAAAGCAGCUGAUCCAACCUGUCCAGAGUCUGUACCAGCCCUAGAGGAAGAAGGGGAAGUUUCCAGGGACUUAGGUAGCAGGGCCUCUCCCUGUCAAGCCGUGAGGCUCAACUGUGCACACCACUUGCCUCCUCAAACACAUUGUGGGGCUUAAAAUAGA
Molecule: long non-coding RNA, 1943 nt
Organism: Lonchura striata (white-rumped munia)
Lineage: Eukaryota; Metazoa; Chordata; Aves; Passeriformes; Estrildidae
Source: Ensembl